Molecule: ribosomal RNA, 482 nt
Filed under: uncultured bacterium
Lineage: Bacteria
Description: partial 16S ribosomal RNA
Rfam family: Bacterial small subunit ribosomal RNA
Source: RNAcentral
AUUGAACGCUGGCGGCAUGCCUUACACAUGCAAGUCGAACGGUAACGGGCCUUCGGGUGCCGACGAGUGGCGAACGGGUGAGUAAUACAUCGGAACGUGCCCGAUCGUGGGGGAUAACGAGGCGAAAGCUUUGCUAAUACCGCAUACGAUCUACGGAUGAGAGCAGGGGACCGCAAGGCCUUGCGCGGACGGAGCGGCCGAUGGCAGAGUAGGUAGUUGGUGGGAUAAAAGCUUACCAAGCCGACGAUCUGUAGCUGGUCUGAGAGGAUGAUCAGCCACACUGGGACUGAGACACGGCCCAGACUCCUACGGGAGGCAGCAGUGGGGAAUUUUGGACAAUGGGCGCAAGCCUGAUCCAGCCAUGCCGCGUGCAGGAUGAAGGCCUUCGGGUUGUAAACUGCUUUUGUACGGAACGAAAAGCCUUCUUUUAAUACAGGAGGGUCAUGACGGUACCGUAAGAAUAAGCACCGGCUAACUACGUG